AAGUCACAAUGGGUUCCCAUUCACAGCUACAGAACAAACGUGAGACAUGGAAAAUGCUGUGAGUGGGAUCCCACUGCCCUCUGGUCUGGUGCACGUUGUGGUUACUGAUGUUGUGACAGAAAGUUAAGGUUGAGGAAAGAGCCUUUUUCUUCUCCAUCUCCAUGAGAAAGGAAGGGCAUUUCUGUUGGAUUGCCCAGGAUAAAGAACAGCAGAAACAGGCGAAUGUUUUCAUUAUUUGGGAAAUCCUUCUGGCAGACGUGCUCAGUGCAGUGGACUCAAACAA
This is a non-coding RNA of Meleagris gallopavo (turkey), 283 nucleotides long. The record is from RefSeq and is a predicted model, not a curated record. Lineage: Eukaryota; Metazoa; Chordata; Aves; Galliformes; Phasianidae.